AAGCUGGGCUGUCAUGGUAUUCAGCUUGUCCUUCUCUCUCUAAAACUCUGUAGAAUUUGAGGUUUACAGAUCGAUGAUGAUAUGCCCAUUUUAUUCUGGAUUCUGGAGAAAGAAAUCCAUCCAAAGGCCGUUCAUCAGUCUUCUCUCACAAUGGAAAUCUGAGCUUCGUUUCAGGUGGGUUCUCUCAUCGCGCAGCUUAGUUCUCUGUUGCAAGCGAGACUGACAUGCCUUUCUCCCACUGAACCUGUGCAACAUUCAGAAUUCACAGAUUGCCAAUAAUGCACGUCUAAGUCAGGAUUUUGGGGGAAAAAAGGUUCAGAGGUCGUUGAUCGAAAAGGGAAAUUUGAGCUCGGAUAAAAAAUGGGUAUUCUUCUCAUCGCUCUCUUAUUUCGUGGAUCUCACUACCAGAUAUGAACUUGGAGAUUAUCUUUUUCUAUCUAACUCCAUUACUUCUCUCUCUCUCUCUCUCUCCAAAUUAGUUCAUGUUAUACCGAUUUAUAUAGGUAUCUUUUAUUUACUUUUUGCUGAUCAGCCACAGCAUGCUGAACUCAGGUGUGAUGGUCUGACUGGAGACUAGUUCAAAGUCAACCAGCGAUCAAAGGUGUGAUUGAUUUAUUGAGGCAUCCAAGUAGGCCCAGACAUUUCGACUGUUGACUUUGCUUUUUCUAUUAUAGUAGACUUUACUUCUUUAAUUAAGAGCAAAUGGUCAUCAAUUGACAAGAUCUUAAAAUCAAUGUGGGACCAUUGCGAAUUUCGUCACUUAAAUACCAUGAUAAUUGGCUAGGAAUGUUGCCCAGCCCAUUAUUCGAUUAACUUAUGAUCAUAAAAAUAAGGGCCCAUUAUUGGAGGGGGAGUAAAUUUUCUAGGGAGAGUUGUAAGGGGUAUAUGGACCCCUAAGGACUAGGUAAAAGUGUCACGGAAAAGGAGAACCACUGAGAGAGUUGGAGAUUCUCUAUGGUUAAUUGUCAUAGUGACUCUAGAGUUUCAUGUGGGGAUCUUUUCUCUCAUUAACAAUGCAAUGUUCUAAUUAUUUUUAUUAAUUGAUAUCAGAGUCAUGACACCCAAAAAUUGUGAUAAGCAGUAAAAUAACUUGGAGAAGUAAAUCAUGAUUAUAGAGAGCACAAAAUAGCUCACACAUAUGUUGGUGAAACUUUUACAAAAAUAAGGUAGUAAUUAGUUUGGGUUAACCACAAACUAACAUGAACUAGAGGAUGAUUGAUUCUCAUAAGACUAGAUCAUGAAUAGUCUAUAGAAUACCCAGAGUGGGUAGUUGGGGAGGAUGUUUUGUAGGAUUGCCCAUUUUCAAAUUGAGAAAUUGCAACAAGUAGGUCUUUCAGUCUCAAAUGUACUUCAAGAUGUAAAGUAUCAACAAAAGUAAUCACUUGAAGGAUAUAGUAGUCAUAAUAAAUGAGAAAGCUCUAGUGUGGUUUAGGUUGAUAAACACCUAAGAACCAUUUAAAUAUUAGAAAAAUGUUAAUAAACUCAUAAGUAGGUGGUUUGAAUCACAAUUAACCUAACUACUCUUGGUUUGAUUUUGAAAUAUCAAGCAUUGAUGGUAAAUAAUUAAGCACAUGCAAAAAUUUGAGUUAUUGUCUACUACACUUCAUGGAAUUUGAAAAGAUGCUCUGAAUAGUACCUUUGUUAAGUGACUAAAACUAGAAAUUGAUGUGGAGGUGGUCAUUCAAACUCACAUGACUUGAUGAUAUUAUGCAACUUGCCCAAAUGGUAAUGGUAAAGAAUGACACUCUUAAAAUUAUUGCAAAGCUGAAAAACUAUAAGAUGAUGAUGUACAUGUUGUUAGAGUGAAUUAGAGCAGUCAACUCAAUGGAUGAGUAAAAACAUUAAGGACCUCUUACAAGUAAGGGGAACAAUUAGAGUGAAAAAAUACGCUCAUUAAGGGACAUGAAAAUAUACCAACAAAAAACAAUUAAUCUUAGCAAAAUCUGAAGUACAAGAAAGGCAUACCAAGAGUCUAUAUUUUUCUCACGAUGGUCAAAAAUACCAAUCAGGCUAUGUUUAUGAAAAAUAAUUAUAAUUAUUUAUUUUUAUGAAGACAUUAAAAACUUGGGUGGGGAAAUGGGACAAAUCACAACUUAGAC
Molecule: long non-coding RNA, 2099 nt
Filed under: Spirodela polyrhiza (greater duckweed)
Lineage: Eukaryota; Viridiplantae; Streptophyta; Magnoliopsida; Alismatales; Araceae
Description: long non-coding RNA (SPOL_LNC001904)
Source: RNAcentral